GAAAUCUGUGAAACUAUAAAUGACAAUAUGACGUCUCCAUCUUCCAUCUCCAAAUCAUCGGCAGUUUUCUUCGGAUCUACAUGACACCAUCCGUUUUCAGCAUUUUAACGAAAUUUGGUAUUCUCGUAGAAAAGAGAAGUACGAUCUGCAUAGUCAAGAACUAGAUAUUCUAGCGGCGUGCUUCGCCCAAUCAAAUACAUCAAGUGAUGAUUAGUUCCAAAUGGACCCACUUUCAAAUUAAUCGGCUUCUCUCCUUUGGCCGGCGGCAGGGAUAUCAGUGCUGGCGAAUACAUCACGUCGAAUAACAUCAAUGGAAUCACCAUCUUCCAUCGCCAAACGGUUGGCUGAAAAUGAUUAGAUUCUUCAACCGCCUUGAUCUUAUUGUUGGGAUUCUUCCUUUUCUUUAGUUCAUUUGCUGCCCUUGCCAAUUAACAGGCCUUUUGCAGAUCUCUUUUAGCUCACUUUAGUAACUAUGUUGUUUGUAGCCAAUCUCCUCAGUAUAGUCGUAUGCUUUAACACCGUGAAUUGCUGGGUCCUCCUCCUAUAUUCUCAGGCUUGAAUAUGAGAUAUUAUUUUUUAUGGAGGAAGAUUUUGAUUGGGGUAUGGACCUAUGGAUAGGUUAAUUGCGAUUGCUGCAAGAGGAGGGAUGGAGACUUUGAGGGCUGCUUUAUAAAGGUUAUACAUGACAGGAGCUUCUGCAUAUAGAGAUGCUCUUAAGAGUUUCAUAGAAGGAUAUCAAGAAGGUAUGCAGCAGAUCAUGGGUAAAAAGGAAGAUUCUUCUAAAGCACAGCAAGAAGGCAAUACUGAUAAAAAUUCAACUUGAUAGCUGAUAAGUGCAUAAUUGGAGAUGCAUGUGAGUACUUCUCCAGCAUACCUAUUGUAGAUACAAGUUUAGAAAUUUGGUGGAGCUGGGUUGGCAUGAAAUCACAAGAAUGAUAUAUGUCCUGAGAAUUUUCCUGUAUUGAGAAAGUGACCUUUAGAAACUACAAAUAUAAUGGGAAUCUCCAUUGACAACGGUGAUGCUCUUUCAUUCUUGUCAUUUCAUGUUUAUUAAUUUUUGUUAUAGUUUAGUAUUCAACGUGCUUGAUCUUGGAUAAAUGUAAAAGAACCUUAAUGCUUUAUGUCUUUGUUAAGUGCAACUGAAGAAUUACUUAGAUAUCUGCUGCCAGCUGCUUGAUGAUCUCGUUUGAUGAA
This is a long non-coding RNA of Gossypium arboreum, 1194 nucleotides long. RefSeq lists it as uncharacterized. The transcript is spliced from 3 exons. The record is from RefSeq and is a predicted model, not a curated record. Lineage: Eukaryota; Viridiplantae; Streptophyta; Magnoliopsida; Malvales; Malvaceae.